RNAcentral lists this ribosomal RNA (504 nucleotides) under uncultured Pseudomonadota bacterium. RNAcentral's name for it is "bacterial SSU rRNA". It matches the Rfam family "Bacterial small subunit ribosomal RNA", at positions 395 to 917 of the family's 1533-position model. Lineage: Bacteria; Pseudomonadati; Pseudomonadota. The record is from RNAcentral.
UGCCGCGUGUGUGACGAAGGCCUUAGGGUCGUAAAGCACUUUCGCCUGUGAAGAUAAUGACUGUAGCAGGUAAAGAAACCCCGGCUAACUCCGUGCCAGCAGCCGCGGUAAUACGGAGGGGGUUAGCGUUGUUCGGAAUUACUGGGCGUAAAGCGCACGUAGGUGGACUAUUAAGUCGAGGGUGAAAUCCCGGGGCUCAACCCCGGAACUGCCUUCGAUACUGGUAGUCUUGAGUUCGAGAGAGGUGAGUGGAAUUCCGAGUGUAGAGGUGAAAUUCGUAGAUAUUCGGAGGAACACCAGUGGCGAAGGCGGCUCACUGGCUCGAUACUGACGCUGAGGUGCGAAAGUGUGGGGAGCAAACAGGAUUAGAUACCCUGGUAGUCCACACCGUAAACGAUGAAUGCCAGUCGUCGGGUAGCAUGCUAUUCGGUGACACACCUAACGGAUUAAGCAUUCCGCCUGGGGAGUACGGUCGCAAGAUUAAAACUCAAAGGAAUUGACGGA